CAAGUUUAAAGGUAUAAAACUGAAAACCACCAAUGGCACUUUUAAUAUUCUUCAUGACAUACAGUGAAAGAAGCAUGAUUACAUACAUGUAGGUCGUGUAGCCACAUAUAAAAUAUGCAUACAUAUCAUUAUAAGUAGUCAAAUCCAUAUACAUCCACUGUUUAAUAUUUUGGAAUAUUUCUCUUAAAUAUUCCAUGAAUAUCUGCAGAAAGACUUUGAAUUGUUCUUUUUUCUGUUUUAUAUACAUCUCCUGUCAGAAUAAUGAUUUUAUUUUCCUUCCACAUCGUCUCCAAAAUCACCAAACACUGGAGCAAGGCCAACGCUACUGUCAAGCUAACAUUGGCCUAAAAAGUGUUGAGUCAUUCUCAGUCUCUGCUGCUGUCGUGUGACUGCUGUGUGUUCUGUGUGUCAUGUAUGUUGUCCAUUAACUGACAUAGUUGUUUAUAUACUACAUAACUGAUGAUCAGUAUGAUGGUAGCAAAGCUCACCUGAAUUGACGAUGCUCCUGGUGUCAGGUACACACUGUGUAACUAAGCUACAGCUAGCAGGCUAAAGCAGGCUAACCGCCCCCUGCUGUUCAUCCAGGUCAUGUUAGGAGUAGAGAUGGACCGAUCCAAUAUUACGUAUCGGUAUCGGUCAGAUACUGACCUAAAUUCCUGGAUCGGAUAUCGGCGAGAAAUAAAAAAUGUAAUCCGAUCCAUUAAAUAUCAAAAAAACACCUCACAAAACUUGCGACACGGCGUAACUCGGCUCAUAACCGUAGCACGUCGGAGCAGUGUGCUCACGUGAUAGAGCGGCUGUGUGUAUUUGUAGCCUCGCUACCAAACCAGCAUUUCAUCUCCGAGGAAGUUAUCCCAGAGAGAAGUAAAGCAAGUGUAUAAGUUCAUCUCUGAAUGUUUGUAAAGCGUUCCCACGUUAACCUUAACAACCGAUAUAUGGAGCGACUGCCUCUCUCUCUCUCUCCCUCUCCUGCCGCUACUUCAAUCAUGAAACUGAUCAAUGAUCAGCUGAUCGGCUUUUCUGUCAUCAACAGUCGAGGUGUUUCUGGGAAUGUCGUCAGGAACGGCUGCGAGGUCCCGAUCAGAGCACGUAACAGAAACAUCCCUGACGUCGACCGAGAACUGCACAGAGCAGUUUUUCAGGGCGUAGGGCAGCGAGGGGUUAAUGUGAAGCAGGACAAGAAGAAGCGAGACGAAGACACCAGACUGAUGAAGCAUGGUGACUGACAGGAUCACACCUUCACUCGGCUCCUGUGAGAUUAGAUUUCCAGCUUCAGGCUUCUCUGGCAUGUAUCAUCCAGCGUUUGAUGAUUUGAAGCAGCAUAAACUCGACCUGGACAGAAGUCUGCAGCUGCUAAGCUAAGCUAGUGAAAAACAGCUGCUGAGAGGAGGCUUCAUGUCAGAGCUUCACACCCUGACCAGGUCACAUUAGAAGCUGAAUGCAUGAAGGAAGAUUUGGAAAGUAAGAUGUGAGCAGAGGUUAGAGUUUAUACACCAUCACUGAUUCAUGUGAACAUCUGGACCUCCUGCAGAAUCCGUGUUAGAACAAGAAUCCAGCAGCACAUGGAAAGCAAAGCAAAGAGUUCAAGUGCAGGAACACUUCAACAGUGCUCUUACCUGAUGUUUUCAGUCCUCAGAGAGGAGAAAAAGACUUUUGAUUCUCAGUUUUCUUUCAGUCUGGGGAACUCAAGCAUGAAGCAUGACCCUAAAUAAAGCUGCUGGAAACAGGAACCGUGAGCUCGCAUGUGCCGCUGGAUUUUCAUGAAGUUGGGCGUUGCAGCAGAGCCUGCUGUCCACAGACCGCUGAAGGUGGCUGGUGAGCACCAGAGGGCGCCAGAGCUCCAGCCCCAGACACGAGGUGAACCCGUGAGUUCAGAGCUGCUUCCUUUAAUGUCACAUGCUCAGAGGUUAUCCUCCUCCUCCCCAUCAUCAUCACCGUGGACUACCAUGUCUGCUGACACACACACACACACACACACACACAUUCAUUUCUUUUUAAACAGCGUGUCAUUUGAAAACUAGAAGAGCACACAGUGAGUUACACAAACAUGUUUUUG
This is a long non-coding RNA of Oreochromis aureus, 2056 nucleotides long. Lineage: Eukaryota; Metazoa; Chordata; Actinopteri; Cichliformes; Cichlidae. The record is from Ensembl.